Molecule: long non-coding RNA, 786 nt
Filed under: Numida meleagris (helmeted guineafowl)
Lineage: Eukaryota; Metazoa; Chordata; Aves; Galliformes; Numididae
Description: lncRNA (ENSNMEG00000009323.1)
Source: RNAcentral
UCCAGACUGAGGGCCAUGCUAGUUUGUUAAGAAUGCUUUUGAACUUGGUACAGCAUGGUGUUAUCCUGUCUCAAAAAGUGAAAGCCACUCUCAGCCUUGAAUACCAGGGACAAUGAUCCUCUGGGAAAAAUACUUUUCUUUCUGCCAUUUAGUAUAUUAUUUGUUGCUUUAUUUUGAAGGGUUGAAAUUAUGUUACUUAAUUGUUUUGAACAAAGACACUUUUCAAAAGCUUAAUUUUCAUUCAGUUAGAGACUGAAAUAGCCUCUUUCUUUAAAGAAUGUACUGAAGGAUAAAGGGUUUUAGUAAAGUUAUAUAUGUAUGAUUUGAGUUAGAAGUACAGAGAACGCUGAAACUAGGUCUUUUUAGUGUUAUUUCAUUAUCUCUUCCCAGUUUGAACCAGAAGGGCCAGAUGUCCACAAAAAUGAAUGGUGCUGGAUCUUUUAAAACCACGGAGGUUAAGUUUGUGUUUUAUCUUCAUCAGGUCCCACUGUUUGCUGAUAAAAGGCUUUGGGAAUUUAAAACCUUAACAACCACACUUGAAGAAGAGAGUAGAAGAAUAAUGCUUUGAGACUUACUGAGCCUUGGAAGAUGCAUGAGGAGGGUAUUGAAGGAUGAAUGGGUUUCCAAUGGAAAAAUAUGGAGACAACAGAUAUUAUGAUUCUACUGGAGCCCCUCUCUGUACAGAGUAGGAGAGAUGACUGUCACAGAAAAAUGCAAGCAAAUGUAAGCAGAGCAGUCAUAUCAGCUCAAGCUGAGGAUCUAUGUCUUGGGGUAUUCUGCUCAUAG